RNAcentral lists this long non-coding RNA (820 nucleotides) under Salvia miltiorrhiza (redroot sage). RNAcentral describes it as "long non-coding RNA (SMIL_LNC012491)". The record is from RNAcentral. Lineage: Eukaryota; Viridiplantae; Streptophyta; Magnoliopsida; Lamiales; Lamiaceae.
AUCUGAACUUGGAGUUUCUUUCCUAAUCCCCUUUCAGCGAUUGAAGAUGGCGGUGCUUUGUUGGAAAAUGAAGAGAACGGCGCAGCUAUACGUCUAACCCAUUGGCUCUAAAGGGGACAGCUGCAGCGAGACCCUUGGCAGCCAAUUUGCACGGACCCAGAGGUAGCUGCCUCUGUUUCACCGACCGACCCGAAGAAUCGACGGAUGCGACAGACCUUCACCCGCCCGCUGUGAGUUUUGAAGUGAAUCUCACCAGAGUACUCAUUUUCCUAUAGCUCGGAAGUCCACCUUGUCCCAUUACUGGAUAACUCGAUGUUUCCUUUGCCCUUGCACCAGAAAUUGAGUAAAAUCAUAAGAAAUUGUGAGUAAUAUGAAAAGCAAUUAAGGUAUUGAGACUAAUCGAGAAAACGACUGGUCGCCGGCCUCGCCGGACCAAUGGCUAAGCAACCGCGGGUGGUCUGUGCGGUUGUCCUGCGUCUGAAGCCGGUUUGGGAAAAUAGGGGUUUAUCUUGAUUUGGGACGAUAUUUUUCGAGAACUCGAAUCAGAGUUUGCCCUAGUCUUCUCCGUUCAAACGAAGCAGCGGCGACGGGUGUUUCCCAUCGAUCUCCCUCGAUUUGGUUUUUGGUGACCGGCUUUAUGAUUUUCCCCAUCCAUCAGAUCGGACCUGGGAGAAAAAAUAUCUGUCUCCCCCGAUUUGGAAGCCAAAAAUUGGAAGAACCGACCGAUUGGAUUGGAUCCCCCCAAAACACCCCUCUUGCCGGAAUCUGGAAGCUCCCCCGUCGAACCCCCUUCGAUCCUCCCUUUUCCCCCUUCUUUUUU